This 253-nucleotide ribosomal RNA is filed under the name uncultured bacterium. Its description in RNAcentral is "partial 16S ribosomal RNA". It matches the Rfam family "Bacterial small subunit ribosomal RNA", at positions 524 to 776 of the family's 1533-position model. The record is from RNAcentral.
UACGUAGGGUGCGAGCGUUGUCCGGAAUUAUUGGGCGUAAAGAGCUUGUAGGCGGUCUGUCGCGUCUGCUGUGAAAAUCCGGGGCUCAACCCCGGACUUGCAGUGGGUACGGGCAGACUAGAGUGUGGUAGGGGAGACUGGAAUUCCUGGUGUAGCGGUGAAAUGCGUAGAUAUCUGGAGGAACACCGGUGGCGAAGGCGGCGUUCUGGACUGCAACUGACACUGAUGAACGAAAGCCAGGGGAGCAAACGGG